GAGUUUGAUUCUGGCUCAGGAUGAACGCUGGCGGCGUGCCUAACACAUGCAAGUCGAGCGCGGUUGUGCUUAGUAUUGAGUGUUUUAUUGAUAUAAAACAUUGAAUUCUAUGCACAACUGAGCGGCGGACGGGUGAGUAACGCGUGGGUAACCUGCCCUAUACACAUGGAUAACAUACUGAAAAGUUUACUAAUACAUGAUAAAAUAGUUUUUCGGCAUCGAAGAAUUAUCAAAGUGUUAGCGGUAUAGGAUGGACCCGCGUCUGAUUAGCUAGUUGGUGAGAUAACUGCCCACCAAGGCAACGAUCAGUAGCCGACCUGAGAGGGUGAUCGGCCACAUUGGAACUGAGACACGGUCCAAACUCCUACGGGAGGCAGCAGUGGGGAAUAUUGCACAAUGGGCGCAAGCCUGAUGCAGCAACGCCGCGUGAACGAUGAAGGUCUUCGGAUCGUAAAGUUCUGUUGCAGGGGAA
This 472-nucleotide ribosomal RNA is filed under the name Peptostreptococcus sp. canine oral taxon 033. Its description in RNAcentral is "bacterial SSU rRNA". It matches the Rfam family "Bacterial small subunit ribosomal RNA", at positions 9 to 446 of the family's 1533-position model. The record is from RNAcentral. Lineage: Bacteria; Bacillati; Bacillota; Clostridia; Peptostreptococcales; Peptostreptococcaceae.